UACACUCCUGCGGGAGGCAGCAGUGGGGAAUUUUGGACAAUGGGCGAAAGCCUGAUCCAGCCAUGCCGCGUGCAGGAUGAAGGCCUUCGGGUUGUAAACUGCUUUUGUACGGAACGAAACGGCCUUUUCUAAUAAAGAGGGCUAAUGACGGUACCGUAAGAAUAAGCACCGGCUAACUACGUGCCAGCAGCCGCGGUAAUACGUAGGGUGCAAGCGUUAAUCGGAAUUACUGGGCGUAAAGCGUGCGCAGGCGGUUAUGUAAGACAGUUGUGAAAUCCCCGGGCUCAACCUGGGAACUGCAUCUGUGACUGCAUAGCUAGAGUACGGUAGAGGGGGAUGGAAUUCCGCGUGUAGCAGUGAAAUGCGUAGAUAUGCGGAGGAACACCGAUGGCGAAGGCAAUCCCCUGGACCUGUACUGACGCUCAUGCACGAAAGCGUGGGGAGCAAACAGGAUUAGAAACCCGGGUAGUCCCAUGA
This 477-nucleotide ribosomal RNA is filed under the name uncultured organism. RNAcentral's name for it is "partial 16S ribosomal RNA". It matches the Rfam family "Bacterial small subunit ribosomal RNA", at positions 332 to 800 of the family's 1533-position model. The record is from RNAcentral.